CACGUAGUUAGCCGUGACUUUCUGGUUGGAUACCGUCACUGCAUGAACAGUUACUCUCACGCACGUUCUUCUCCAACAACAGAGCUUUACGAGCCGAAACCCUUCUUCACUCACGCGGUGUCGCUCCAUCAGGCUUGCGCCCAUUGUGGAAGAUUCCCUACUGCUGCCUCCCGUAGGAGUAUGGACCGUGUCUCAGUUCCAUUGUGGCCAAUCAGUCUCUCAACUCGGCUAUGCAUCAUCACCUUGGUAGGCCGUUACCCUACCAACUAGUUAAUGCACCGCGGGUCCAUCCUGAAGUGAUAGCCGAAACCAUCUUUGAGGCGAAAACCAUGCGGUUUUCGUAGUUAUGCGGUAUUAGCACCUGUUUCCAAAUGUUAUCCCCCGCUUCAGGGCAGGUUACCCACGUGUUACUCACCUGUCCGCCACUCACUGGUAAACCAUCUUCAUAAAAGUGCAAGCACUUUUAAUCUGUUGGGCCAGUGCGUUCGACUUGCAUGU
RNAcentral lists this ribosomal RNA (498 nucleotides) under uncultured Lactobacillus sp. RNAcentral's name for it is "partial 16S ribosomal RNA". The record is from RNAcentral. Lineage: Bacteria; Bacillati; Bacillota; Bacilli; Lactobacillales; Lactobacillaceae.